CUCUCGGUAGCCAAGUUGGUUUAAGGCGCAAGACUGUAAAUCUUGAGAUCGGGCGUUCGACUCCGCCCCCGGGAGA
Molecule: transfer RNA, 76 nt
Filed under: Saccharomyces cerevisiae Vin13
Lineage: Eukaryota; Fungi; Ascomycota; Saccharomycetes; Saccharomycetales; Saccharomycetaceae
Description: tRNA-Tyr (GTA) (tRNA-Tyr-GTA-3-1)
Rfam family: tRNA
About the family: Transfer RNA (tRNA) molecules are approximately 80 nucleotides in length.
Source: RNAcentral